GACGAACGCUGGCGGCGUGCUUAACACAUGCAAGUCGAACGGUGAAGGGGUCUGCUUUUGUGGGCCCUGGAUGAGUGGCGAACGGGUGAGUAACACGUGAGUAACCUGCCCCCUUCUUCUGGAUAACCGCAUGAAAGUGUGGCUAAUACGGGAUAUUCUGGGUCUGUCGCAUGAUGGGUCUGGGAAAGAUUGCGCCUUUGGGUGUUUGUGGUGGGGGAUGGGCUCGCGGCCUAUCAGCUUGUUGGUGGGGUGAUGGCCUACCAAGGCGGUGACGGGUAGCCGGCCUGAGAGGGUGGACGGUCACACUGGGACUGAGACACGGCCCAGACUCCUACGGGAGGCAGCAGUGGGGAAUAUUGCACAAUGGGCGCAAGCCUGAUGCAGCGACGCCGCGUGAGGGAUGGAGGCCUUCGGGUUGUAAACCUCUUUCGCCAGUGAAGCAGGCCUGCUCCUUGUGGGUGGGUUGACGGUAGCUGGAUAAGAAGCGCCGGCUAACUACGUG
RNAcentral lists this ribosomal RNA (502 nucleotides) under uncultured bacterium. RNAcentral describes it as "partial 16S ribosomal RNA". It matches the Rfam family "Bacterial small subunit ribosomal RNA", at positions 28 to 507 of the family's 1533-position model. The record is from RNAcentral.